GAGGCCAGCAGUAGAUGGAGAUGUUGAGAAGGGGGAGGCCAGCAGUAGAUGGAGAUGUUGAGAAUGGGGGAGACCAGCAGUAGAUGGAGAUGUUGAGAAGGGGGAGACCAGCAGUAGAUGGACAUGUUGAGAAGGGGGAGGCCAGCAGUAGAUGGAGAUGUUGAGAAGGGGGAGGCCAGCAGUAGAUGGAGAUGUUGAGAAGGGGGAGACCAGCAGUAGAUGGACAUGUUGAGAAGGGGGAGGCCAGCAGUAGAUGGACAUGUUGAGAAGGGGGAGGCCAGCAGUAGAUGGAGAUGUUGAGAAGGGGGAGGCCAGCAGUAGAUGGAGAUGUUGAGAAGGGGGAGACCAGCAGUAGAUGGACAUGUUGAGAAGGGGGAGGCCAGCAGUAGAUGGACAUGUUGAGAAGGGGGAGGCCAGCAGUAGAUGGACAUGUUGAGAAGGGGGAGGCCAGCGGGCGCUGAGGUAAUGGCUCACUGGUCUAUUGUUCCCUCUCUUCUUCCUCACCCUCCACCGUCUCCUUCUCCCAUCCAGUCCCCCCCCCCACUACACCCACAACCCCCCUUUCUGGACUUCAAAGGGAAGGAAGGAAGUUGAAAACAAGGUGAAUUAAUUUCCCCCUCGUACCAAGCCUACAUGUUGCAGCGGAUGUGCUUUUUAAUUGCUUGUGCUAAAUGCGGAACCUAUUUUUGCCUCCUUUACAAAAGCCUAAAUGAUGAUCCGGGUGGAAUCCAUGCCGAUGCCAGCAGACCUCAUGAAACAUUAACGCUGCUCACACAAGCAACGACCUUGAAAACAAGUCGCGAGAAAGCCAAAGAAAGGGACGCUGUAAAGUGCGACUCGGCCAACACGUGGCUUCAUCAAUUGUGCUCAAACUGACAUUCCUCGGCAUCUUUAACCCUCCACCCAGAAGCCUCGGCGCAGACCGAACCCUGUGAAGUGGAUCAAUGGGAGGAUUAUCGCAGGACCAAGAUGCCCGUUAGAGCGCCGCUCUGCGCUGCCUCAGUGACGGGAGAAGAUGAGAGGCUUUUCCUUUCAUCUUGUGCUGGCGCAUCGGAGGGGGCCGAUGAUAAUGAUGUGGAGGCCCGACCCGCUCUCGCCCGUCCUCUACCGCCAAAAUAAAAGGCCUGUGGAGGGUCGGACGGGACAAACGGAUUUAGUCAGGCGGAUUUUGGAUUCAUGUGAAUUUAUCCCAGAAUUGUUUUUUUUGCUUCCUCGGGAGGAAUGUUAUCGAUGCAACAGUGGUGUGUGUGUGUGUGCGUGUGUGUGCGUGUGUGCGUGUGUGCGUGUGUGUGCGUGUGUGCAUGUGUGUGUGCGUGUGCUCCAGUUGUUUCCUCCGUCUCAUCAGAUCCAGCUGAACACCUCUGUCCUCUCUCAAGGACACCCCUCCCUUCGUCCCUCACAUUGUGUCUCUGUCUCUCCCUCUGUUGCUUUUUCUUUCUCACACACACACACACACACACACACACACACACACACACACACACACACACACACACACACACACACACACACACACACAGUCACUCACACUUCACCUAUACACACUUCACACACACCCACACUCACACGUUCUCUCUCUCCCUGUGUGUGACAGGCGGCGGUGCUGGAGAUGGCUGCUGACAUUCUGGACAGUAAAAGGCUUAAGGUGGAUUGUGUGUGUGUGUGUGUGUGUGCGUGUGCGCGUGUGUGUCUCUGAGGCAGAUGGAGAAACCUCUCAUUUCUUCCUCCAGUGUCUCUACAUGUUAUCUGAGCGCUGCUGUCGCACACAGAGUCUCCAGCGGCUCGUCUGUUGGACGGUUUCCUAAAGCCUGAUGGUUAUCAUAAUAAGGUGGAAGGUCAGAAAUCUCUUAAUUAGUGCUAAAUAGGAAUUAGAUUAGGCUUUUGUCCACUUCAGAAGCAGCUCUAGUUAAACAGAUUAGCGGAUUAGGCCGGGAUGAGGACAGAGAGGGAAAGGUUGACACGUCGGUGACGAGGAGCACAUUAUCUGAUUGGCUGUCAGUCAGCUUUGGGGAAAGGUGACGGCGCGGCCAACACGCCACCACGUGUCAAUCGUGUCUCGGGACAGUGUGAACACCCACAGAACUCUCAUUGCCUUUGUGUGCGCUACCAUGUCAGGCGACGUCAUCGCCUCUUUCCACUUUAAAACGUAUGUGUUUUGCUCCACGUCCACACGGAAACGCUCCCGAGGACGGAUCCGUUUGAAGGGCUCACGGGUUGCGGACGGUUGAAGACGGAUCCGCAUGGCCACCCGAUUGGUUGUGAGCAGUCGUAACGCGUCCUUCCCUUAAUCGUCACACUCCGAUCAUGUGACCGCUUCCAGGAAGAAAACCAACAGCCGCGGCUGCGUUGUUGUCUCUAAACUCUGCAUUUGACUUAUUAUAAUUACUCAUUAUAAUGACUUAUUAUUUAUGGCAAUGAAGAUCUCAUGUAGAUACAGAUCUCAUGGGGACGAAAAUCUCAUGUGGAUAAAGAUAUCAUGGGGGUGAAGAUCUCGUGUGGAUGAUCAUCUCAAGUGGAUGAAAACCUCAUAGGGAUGAAGAUCUCAUGUAGAUACAGAUCUCAUGGGGACGAAAAUCUCAUGUGGAUAAAGAUCUCAUGGGGGUGAAGAUCUCGUGUGGAUGAUCAUCUCAAGUGGAUGAAAACCUCAUAGGAAUGAAGAUCUCAUGUAGAUACAGAUCUCAUGGGGACGAAAAUCUCAUGUGGAUAAAGAUCUCAUGGGGGUGAAGAUCUCGUGUGGAUGAUCAUCUCAAGUGGAUGAAAAUCUCAUAGGGAUGUAGAUCUCAUGGGGAUGAAGAUCUAAUGUAGAUACAGAUCUCAUGGGGACGAAGAUCUCAUGUGGAUAAAGAUCUCAUGGGGUGAAACAUCUUGUGUGGAUGAUCAUCUCAAGUGGAUGAAGAUAUCAUAGGGAUGAUCAUCUUAAGUGGAUGAUCAUCUCAAGUGGAUGAAGAUCUCAUGGGGAUGAAGAUCUCAUGGGGACAAAGAGCUCAUGGGGACAAGAUCUCAUGGGGAUGAAGAUCUCAUGUAGAUACAGAUCUCAUGGGGACGAAGAUCUCGUGUGGAUGAUCAUCUCAAGUGGAUAAAGAUCUCAUGUGGAUGAAGAUCUCAUGGGGAUGAAGAUCUCAUGGGAAUGAAGAUCUCAUGUAAAUAAAGAUCUCAUUGGGACGAAGAUCUCAUGUAGAUAAAGAUCUCAUGUAGAUACAGAUCUCAUGACAACGAAGAUCUCAUGUGGAAAUAGAUCUCAUGGGGAUAAAGAUCUCGUUUGGAUGAAGAUCUCAUGGGGAUGAAGAUCUCAUGUAGAUACAGAUCUCAUGGGGAUGAAGAUCUUGUGUGGAUGAAGAUCUCAUGUGGAUAAAGAUCUCAUGGGGAUGAAGAUCUCGUGUGGAUGAAGAUCUCAUGUGGAUGAAGAUCUCGUGUGGAUGAAGAUCUCGUGUGGAUGAAGAUCUCAUGGGGAUGAAGAUCUUGUGUGGGUGAAGAUCUCAUGGGGAUGAAGAUCUUGUGGGGAUGAAGAUCUCAUGUAGAUAAAGAUCUCAUGUGGAUGAAGAUCUCGUGUGGGUGAAGAUCUCAUGUGGAUGAAGAUCUCAUUUGGAUGAAGAUCUCAUGGGGAUGAAGAUCUCGUGUGGGUGCUGUCUCAGACUAACUCUUAUCUGACACCUCGCUCACCACAAGUCUUUCCCUCCUGUCUCCUCUAACGUUCUGUUAUUUCUUCACCCUCCCUUCGCUGUUCAAAGACAGCUUUUCUGUCCUAUUCACUACAUUUGAUGGGCUCGUGCCAAGAGGACGGUGUCUCCUCUCUCCUUCUACCCUUCCCUCCUCCGUCUCCCUUUCACUUCCUCUUCCUCACCAUCUUGUCUCCCUCUCAUCGUCAUCCUCCUCCACGCCUUCCUUUCCUCGCCACCCCUCAGUCUAUUCUGUGGCCCAGCGUGGGUGGCUGAGUUUAAUGAAUUCUCUUUUCUUUCUGCAGCCAGGCGUUGAUUUCUGAUUGUGAAGAGGUGUGCGUGUGUUGUGAGUGUGCGAUGUAUGAAUGAGUGAGUGAGUGAAGUGCUUGCGCACACGCACACAAACACGCACACACUCUCAUAUUUUACUUACUCGCUUUCCGUGCCUUGACUAUGAUCAUUAUAACAGUCUAAAUCUCGGCCUUUAUCCCGAUCAAGGCUUUGCACUUUCCUCUCUCAUAAGAAGCAGAAAGUUGCCGACUGUCAGCGUUAAAGUAGAUUCGCCUCUGGAUGUGUUUGCUGCUGCUGUGAACACUACCUGCCGUCUCCUGCAGCCAGAAACAUGAGUCAAGAAUCUGUUUUGUCCUCUGAUGUCUUACUAAUGCACAGGAAACGGGGGGGGACCCAGUAAAAUGACCGCAGGAAGGAAGUAGACGCUGAAGACCCUGAUCAGAUUCUGUUAUGCGGUGCAUCAGAAUAAUACAUGUAUAGUCUGUUUGGUUUGACCAGCUCACAAGGUCAUGUAACUUUUUGUGCUGAUGAAGCGUCGGAGGAGGGUUUGUGUGCGUCGGAGGAGGGUUUGUGUGAGUCGGAGGAGGGUUUGUGUGAGUCGGAGGAGGGUUUGUGUGCGUCGGAGGAGGGUUUGUGUGAGUCGGAGGAGGGUUUGUGUACGUCGGAGGCUGCGCACCAUGCUAACAAAUUGGAGCUACCUCACUGUACUGUGCUGUACUGUUAGCAGAGCAUAUAUGAUGACGCUAGUUUGUGCGGGUCGAUCUGCAGGAAUUUGUUGUCAAAACAGAUUGUAUUAUAUUGUAGGUGGGAAUCACAAAUUAGGCCUAGUUUAUGCUCGUGCGUUUUCACAGAGACGCAAGGACACGCAAAAGCCCCUUGCGUGCUUUUUUACCCCUUCUUGCUGCUUCGACCAAUUUUUCUAGACUAGUGUCAAAAACUAUGCAAGCCUCACACAGCUGUGAUUGGUCUGCUGAGCACAUCCUUUCCUUUCUCACAUUUCUCAGAUUGAAGAGCUUUUGUCAGAAGAAGUACGUAAAAAUGAGCACUUCUACAAGCCGGUCAUUGGCGGACUAUGAGGACGGCCCUCGAUUCAGUAAACAAACAAACCGACUUCCACACACAAAGACGACAUUCUCUAAGUCGUCGUCGACAAAAAAGAACACGCGUUAUUCCACCUGUUGUUCUUUUAGAACCAUGAAUCAAAACGAGUUUCUGUGCGAAAGGACGCAGGCGCAGUUGUAGAAGUGAGUUUACGUUUCUGGUUCAGAACACUUCAGUUCUGUCGUCGAUGAACAUCUGUACUGUGUAUCACACACGUUAGCUAACAGGGAGCUAACAAGCCCAGGGAAGUGGAAAGACAAUAUUAGUCUAUUUCAUUUAAACACAUUUAAAAUCCUCAUCUACUUUUGAAAUGAGUACCUACACCAUAUAUAACCACUGGGCACAUGGAGUCCACGCCGGGUUCAAGUGGUUGAACCGACCGACAGAACGGCUCCACCACUUUGGACCAGAAUAAAAUCUCAACUUCUAUCUUUACAUUUGAAUCCAGAUGUUCUCUCUUCAGGAGGACUUGGCGAUACGCUGACUCUUUAUUGACCAAUAUCUGCUAACAUGGCUUGCCAGCAUUGUCAUUAUUUAGCCCAAAGGACUCACAGAGCCGCUGGCAUUGUUUAGAUGGUUUGCUGGUUCAACAUCCUGCACCGGACCAACAAAUAAAUAAAGCCGAACUGUGGCUGCAUUUCACCUGUUCUGCAUUUCUUUGCUUGGCAGGUGUGUAAAGCCUCAUCAACUCCCCCAAAUAAGCAGGAAAUGUAGACUUUGUAAACUGGGUCACGUUCCCCUUUUUUAUGCCAAACACCAGACUUCAAAAGGAUGAAACAAUCCUCCCUCGGAUUUGGGAAGUGGAUCAUCUCCACAUCUGUCGGAGGUCACCGCUGGGAGCAGGUGUUGCUGCCUCCGUCCUCCCUGCUGAUUGGAUGGACGGAUUAGCUGCUUAACGAGUUGGAUUUGUUUAAUCUGAUAAUUGUCUGGCGAUGAAAACAUAUUCAGUAAUUCUCUGUGGCCUCUGUUUUAUUCCUCCUGAUUAAAGACACUUUCAUUCUCCUACGCGCACACACACACACACACACACACACACACACACACACACACACACACACACACACACACACACACACACACAUUAUGGAACAGUUGUUGUUAUGACCAGAAGACAAGGCUCUGAGGUGGGCUGGCAAUCACACACAACACACACACAUAUACACAGAAACACACACACUCCCCAGUGUGUAGCCCCCCUGUGGUAUGGUAAUGAGCUGCUAAUCUCUCUGGUUUACACAGCCAGAAUGUGUGUGUGUGUGUGUGUGUGCGCAUUAAGGUGCAAUGUGGAAAAGCCUGAGGAAUUCUCUUAGGCCGUCAACCUUCUGCUCUCACUCGGGCGCAGGCUGUCAACACAUUAAAGAGCUGAAUUUGUGUGUGUGUUUGUGUGUGUAUGUGUGUGUGUGUGUGUCUGUGUGAGACAGAGGGAGCGAUACACAUGUGAAAACUUGAUAAAAACAAACUAGAAAGGCGACAAAGAGAGAAAUGGAAGACAUUAGGGGAAAUACUGUGGAUCAGCACAUGCACACUUUCUCCAUCUGAUCGGUUCAUUCCUGACUGUCCUCUAACUCCUCUCUUCUGUGUGCGUUUACUGUUCAUGUGUGUGCGUUAUGAUGCUGCGUUGCUGCUCGGCUUGUGUGUGUGUGUGUUUAUUUAUUAUGCCGGAGUCACAUCACUAAUUAGUCCCUUGGAGAAGCCUGAGGCCAUUUGCAAAAUCCCACUGAUUAAAAACAAGUCCAAAUCCAACCUUGUGUCGCGCACACACACACACACACACACACACACACACACACACACAUGGGAGUGUGUGCUGAGCAAAGCUACUUACUGUCAAGGCUUGAACACGUGUGGGCGUGUGUUUGCAAGCGGAGCCGUGCAUGCGUGUUGGAGGGCUGUCAGUCGUUAAGGCCAGUUUAAUAUUUCAAAUUGCCGUCCAAAGUUACCACACGCCGGGACGCCCCCCCCACACACACACACACGCCGGGACGCCCCCCCCACACGCCCCCCUCAGACGCAUGUGCACUCAAAGCCUGCAGGAGCUUCAGCGUGUCACAAAUCACACUCAAGAUGUCAAGGGCAUCGUGCAACAGCAAGUGUGACAGACAGGCUGACAGACAGACACACAAGACAGAGCAGGAGGCCGAGGCUACACAAUGUCCUGUAU
Long non-coding RNA from Gasterosteus aculeatus aculeatus (three-spined stickleback), 7209 nucleotides. The record is from Ensembl. Lineage: Eukaryota; Metazoa; Chordata; Actinopteri; Perciformes; Gasterosteidae.